AAAACAAUAGUGCAAGAAGAAGAAGAUUCAGAAAAAUCAAAAAAUAGUGAAGAAGACGAGGACCUAGCAUUAAUCAUCAGAAAAUUCAGACGUUUCAUGAAGAAAAGAAGACAAGGGAUCAAGAGAAGACCACCAGCUAAGGGGAAGCCAAGUAAAGAAAAAGAGCAACCCAUCAUCUGUUAUGAAUGCAAGAAGCCGGGCCACUUC
RNAcentral lists this long non-coding RNA (207 nucleotides) under Elaeis guineensis (African oil palm). RNAcentral's name for it is "long non-coding RNA (EGUI_LNC049644)". Lineage: Eukaryota; Viridiplantae; Streptophyta; Magnoliopsida; Arecales; Arecaceae. The record is from RNAcentral.